Molecule: long non-coding RNA, 569 nt
Organism: Notolabrus celidotus (New Zealand spotty)
Lineage: Eukaryota; Metazoa; Chordata; Actinopteri; Labriformes; Labridae
Exons: 2
Source: RefSeq, a predicted model, not a curated record
CCGACGGGUGCGCCCCCGAUGUAACGGCAGGAAAACACUGUCCGGUAUCAGGCUGAAGUCUACAGAGCAUGCAGUAUAAGACCACAAGUAAUGCAUAAACGCACUUUAAAAACAUAUCAUCCAGACUAGCAUCACUAGAGGACCACGGAACAACUCUGCUCUGCAACCAAAGCGGAUCACUGGAAACAAGAGCUGUUAAUGUAAAACAUCAAAGCUGAAGCAGCGUGCAGCCUCAGAAGUGAAGGUGAGAAACCUGGUGUAAUGUUUGCAGCCACAGUGGGGUGCGAUUCCGGCUCAGCUCUGUUGACGGCUGCUCAGGCUUACACCUGCAGUCUGCCAGGGGUGACUGACAGUCUGAAGAGAACUAUAGGAGGAGGAAUAUCACAUUCCCUGCACACACUCUAAUAAAAUAACCUGAAUGGAAGAUGUAGCAUUAGUGUAUCAGACCAGCACCACAUGCAGAUUGUUUAGUUUCUCUUUCAUAUAUUGUGUCUGAAUCCAGCCUUGAUGUUCUUUCAAUAAUAAGCUGCUGAUGGCUUUAACAAAUGAAUAAAACAUCUCACUGCGUG